Molecule: transfer RNA, 72 nt
Filed under: Trichonephila inaurata madagascariensis
Lineage: Eukaryota; Metazoa; Arthropoda; Arachnida; Araneae; Nephilidae
Rfam family: tRNA
About the family: Transfer RNA (tRNA) molecules are approximately 80 nucleotides in length.
Source: Rfam by way of RNAcentral
GGCCCGUUAGCUCAGUUGGUUAGAGCGUCGUGCUAAUAACGCGAAGGUCGUGGUUCGAUCCCGUCACGGCCA